Molecule: ribosomal RNA, 253 nt
Filed under: uncultured bacterium
Lineage: Bacteria
Description: partial 16S ribosomal RNA
Rfam family: Bacterial small subunit ribosomal RNA
Source: RNAcentral
UACGUAGGGUGCGAGCGUUAAUCGGAAUUACUGGUCGUAAAGCGUGCGCAGGCGGUUUGUUAAGACAGGUGUGAAAUCCCCGGGCUCAACCUGGGAAUGGCGCUUGUAACUGGCAGGCUAGAGUGUGUCAGAGGGAGGUAGAAUUCCACGUGUAGCAGUGAAAUGCGUAGAGAUGUGGAGGAAUACCGAUGGCGAAGGCAGCCUCCUGGGAUAACACUGACGCUCAGGCACGAAAGCGUGGGGAGCAAACAGG